Molecule: long non-coding RNA, 348 nt
Filed under: Homo sapiens (human)
Lineage: Eukaryota; Metazoa; Chordata; Mammalia; Primates; Hominidae
Description: non-protein coding GAPLINC:6
Source: RNAcentral
CUUGGUUUCCUAAGUCUUAUGACUAGCCAAUGCCUGAAAUAAUGAACUCCUCCAAGGCAAGAAAUCUGUUUUGAAGCUUCUCUGCGUUCACACACAGCAGCCUGGUUUCCUGGAAGGGCAUUUUCCACAUUGUGCGUUAUGGAUGAUCAUCCCAGGCAUCAGGGUAUGCACAGAUGUGGAAACAGGAACUGAUGUGUCCAUUACACCACUAGGACAGAGGCCAGAACAAUGAAGAAACCAAAUACUUGGAAGAGGGUAGAGAUAAUGAAUGGAGUCCAAGAGCCCUGAUUGUGCCAUAAAUGUCCAGAUAAUUCCAUACCUGAGGAUUAUGUGGUUUGUAAACUUGGC